RNAcentral lists this ribosomal RNA (403 nucleotides) under uncultured bacterium. RNAcentral's name for it is "bacterial SSU rRNA". It matches the Rfam family "Bacterial small subunit ribosomal RNA", at positions 362 to 757 of the family's 1533-position model. The record is from RNAcentral.
UUUUGGACAAUGGGCGCAAGCCUGGUCCAGCCAUGCCGCGUGAGUGAAGAAGGCCUUCGGGUUGUAAAGCUCUUUCGCAAGGGAAGAAAACUUACUUUCUAAUAAAGAGUGAGGUUGACGGUACCUUGAUAAGAAGCACCGGCUAACUACGUGCCAGCAGCCGCGGUAAUACGUAGGGUGCGAGCGUUAAUCGGAAUUACUGGGCGUAAAGCGUGCGCAGGCGGCUUUGUAAGUCAGAUGUGAAAUCCCCGAGCUCAACUUGGGAACUGCGUUUGAAACUACAAGGCUAGAAUAUGUCAGAGGGGGGUAGAAUUCCACGUGUAGCAGUGAAAUGCGUAGAGAUGUGGAGGAAUACCAAUGGCGAAGGCAGCCCCCUGGGAUAAUAUUGACGCUCAUGCACGAA